RNAcentral lists this ribosomal RNA (1470 nucleotides) under metagenome. RNAcentral's name for it is "bacterial SSU rRNA". It matches the Rfam family "Bacterial small subunit ribosomal RNA". The record is from RNAcentral.
AGAGUUUGAUCCUGGCUCAGGACGAACGCUGGCGGCACGCUUAACACAUGCAAGUCGAACGAGAGAAGAGGAGCUUGCUUUUCUGAUCUAGUGGCGGACGGGUGAGUAACACGUGAGCAAUCUGCCUUUCAGAGGGGGAUACCGAUUGGAAACGAUCGUUAAUACCGCAUAACAUAAUUGAACCGCAUGAUUUGAUUAUCAAAGAUUUAUCGCUGAAAGAUGAGCUCGCGUCUGAUUAGCUAGUUGGUAAGGUAACGGCUUACCAAGGCGACGAUCAGUAGCCGGACUGAGAGGUUGAUCGGCCACAUUGGGACUGAGACACGGCCCAGACUCCUACGGGAGGCAGCAGUGGGGAAUAUUGCACAAUGGAGGAAACUCUGAUGCAGCGAUGCCGCGUGAGGGAAGAAGGUUUUAGGAUUGUAAACCUCUGUCUUCAGGGACGAAAAAAGACGGUACCUGAGGAGGAAGCUCCGGCUAACUACGUGCCAGCAGCCGCGGUAAUACGUAGGGAGCGAGCGUUGUCCGGAAUUACUGGGUGUAAAGGGAGCGUAGGCGGGAUCGCAAGUCAGAUGUGAAAACUAUGGGCUUAACCCAUAAACUGCAUUUGAAACUGUGGUUCUUGAGUGAAGUAGAGGUAAGCGGAAUUCCUAGUGUAGCGGUGAAAUGCGUAGAUAUUAGGAGGAACAUCAGUGGCGAAGGCGGCUUACUGGGCUUUAACUGACGCUGAGGCUCGAAAGCGUGGGGAGCAAACAGGAUUAGAUACCCUGGUAGUCCACGCCGUAAACGAUGAUUACUAGGUGUGGGGGGACUGACCCCUUCCGUGCCGCAGCAAACGCAAUAAGUAAUCCACCUGGGGAGUACGACCGCAAGGUUGAAACUCAAAGGAAUUGACGGGGGCCCGCACAAGCAGUGGAGUAUGUGGAUUAAUUCGAAGCAACGCGAAGAACCUUACCAGGUCUUGACAUCGUAUGCAUAGCUCAGAGAUGAGUGAAAUCUCUUCGGAGACAUAUAGACAGGUGGUGCAUGGUUGUCGUCAGCUCAUGUCGUGAGAUGUUGGGUUAAGUCCCGCAACGAGCGCAACCCUUACUGUUAGUUGCUACGCAAGAGCACUCUAGCAGGACUGCCGUUGACAAAACGGAGGAAGGUGGGGAUGACGUCAAAUCAUCAUGCCCCUUAUGACCUGGGCCUCACACGUACUACAAUGGCUGUCAACAGAGGGAAGCAAAGCCGCGAGGUGGAGCGAACCCCUAAAAGCAGUCUUAGUUCGGAUUGUAGGCUGCAACCCGCCUACAUGAAGUCGGAAUUGCUAGUAAUCGCAGAUCAGCAUGCUGCGGUGAAUACGUUCCCGGGCCUUGUACACACCGCCCGUCACGCCAUGGGAGUCGGUAACACCCGAAGCCUGUAGUCUAACCGCAAGGAGGACGCAGUCGAAGGUGGGAUUGAUGACUGGGGUGAAGUCGUAACAAGGUA